UGGAUCCAGACUUUGAUUCUGGCUCAGGAUGAACGCUAGCUACAGGCUUAACACAUGCAAGUAGAGGGGAAACGACAUCGAAAGCUUGCUUUUGAUGGGCGUCGACCGGCGCACGGGUGAGUAACGCGUAUCCAACCUGCCCACCACUUGGGGAUAACCUUGCGAAAGUAAGACUAAUACCCAAUGAUAUCUCUAGAAGACAUCUGAAAGAGAUUAAAGAUUUAUCGGUGGUGGAUGGGGAUGCGUCUGAUUAGCUUGUUGGCGGGGUAACGGCCCACCAAGGCAACGAUCAGUAGGGGUUCUGAGAGGAAGGUCCCCCACAUUGGAACUGAGACACGGUCCAAACUCCUACGGGAGGCAGCAGUGAGGAAUAUUGGUCAAUGGACGAGAGUCUGAACCAGCCAAGUAGCGUGCAGGAUGACGGCCCUAUGGGUUGUAAACUGCUUUUAUAAGGGAAUAAAGUGAGUCUCGUGAGACUUUUCGCAUGUACCUUAUGAAUAAGGACCGGCUAAUUCCGUGCCAGCAGCCGCGGUAAUACGGAAGGUCCGGGCGUUAUCCGGAUUUAUUGGGUUUAAAGGGAGCGUAGGCCGGAGAUUAAGCGUGUUGUGAAAUGUAGACGCUCAACGUCUGCACUGCAGCGCGAACUGGUUUCCUUGAGUACGCAUAAAGUGGGCGGAAUUUGUGGUGUAGCGGUGAAAUGCUUAGAUAUCACGAAGAACUCCGAUUGCGAAGGCAGCUCACUGGAGCGCAACUGACGCUGAAGCUCGAAAGUGCGGGUAUCGAACGGGAUUAGAUACCCUGGUAGUCCGCACGGUAAACGAUGGAUGCCCGCUGUUGGCCUGAAUAGGUCAGCGGCCAAGCGAAAGCAUUAAGCAUCCCACCUGGGGAGUACGCCGGCAACGGUGCAACUCAAAGGAAUUGACGGA
Molecule: ribosomal RNA, 926 nt
Filed under: uncultured bacterium
Lineage: Bacteria
Also listed under: 1 other name
Description: bacterial SSU rRNA
Rfam family: Bacterial small subunit ribosomal RNA
Source: RNAcentral